This 305-nucleotide ribosomal RNA is filed under the name uncultured bacterium. Its description in RNAcentral is "partial 16S ribosomal RNA". It matches the Rfam family "Bacterial small subunit ribosomal RNA", at positions 508 to 808 of the family's 1533-position model. The record is from RNAcentral.
ACAGCAGUCGCCGCGGUAAUACGUAGGGGGCGAGCGUUGUCCGAAGUUACUGGGCGUAAAGCGCGCGUAGGCGGCUUCUUAAGUCUGAGGUGAAAGGUUCAACGCUUAACGUGAACAGUGCCUUGGAUACUGGGGAGCUUGAGUAUGGGAGAGGGCAGUGGAAUGGCUGGUGUAGCGGUGAAAUGCGUAGAUAUCAGUCGGAACACCCAUGGCGAAGGCAGCUGCCUGGCCUAAUACUGACGCUGAGGUGCGAAAGCGUGGGGAGCGAACGGGAUUAGAUACCCCUGUAGUCCCUGUCUCUUAUA